GUGCUCUCUUCAGCAGCACAUAUACUAAAAUUGGAACAAUACAGAGAUUAGCAUGGCCCCUGUGCAAAGAUGACAUGCAAAUUUGUGCAGCGUUCCAUAUUUUU
Dipodomys ordii (Ord's kangaroo rat) is the source of this 104-nucleotide small nuclear RNA. The record is from Ensembl. Lineage: Eukaryota; Metazoa; Chordata; Mammalia; Rodentia; Heteromyidae.